GGAGAGAUGGCUCAGUGGACUAAAGUGUAAGAUUGCUAAUCCGUUGUAUGAGUUUUUCGUACCAAGGGUUCAAAUCCCUCUCAUUCCA
Molecule: transfer RNA, 88 nt
Filed under: Eucalyptus grandis
Lineage: Eukaryota; Viridiplantae; Streptophyta; Magnoliopsida; Myrtales; Myrtaceae
Rfam family: tRNA
About the family: Transfer RNA (tRNA) molecules are approximately 80 nucleotides in length. Their secondary structure includes four short double-helical elements and three loops (D, anti-codon, and T loops).
Source: Rfam by way of RNAcentral